AUCACUUCUCGGCCUUUUGGCUAAGAUCAAGUGUAGUCUAAAAUUUUGUUAAGAAUGUUUGCAUCUAAAUUCAU
This is a small nuclear RNA of Heterocephalus glaber (naked mole-rat), 74 nucleotides long. Its record names the gene U2. It matches the Rfam family "U2 spliceosomal RNA". From Rfam's summary of the family: U2 is a small nuclear RNA (snRNA) component of the spliceosome (involved in pre-mRNA splicing). The record is from Ensembl. Lineage: Eukaryota; Metazoa; Chordata; Mammalia; Rodentia; Bathyergidae.